UUAUUGGAGAGUUUGAUCCUGGCUCAGGACGAACGCUGGCGGCGUGCCUAAUACAUGCAAGUCGAGCGGACCUGAUGGAGUGCUUGCACUCCUGAGGGU
RNAcentral lists this ribosomal RNA (99 nucleotides) under Paenibacillus sp. RNAcentral describes it as "partial 16S ribosomal RNA". It matches the Rfam family "Bacterial small subunit ribosomal RNA", at positions 1 to 95 of the family's 1533-position model. Lineage: Bacteria; Bacillati; Bacillota; Bacilli; Caryophanales; Paenibacillaceae. The record is from RNAcentral.